Molecule: ribosomal RNA, 1547 nt
Filed under: Salmonella enterica subsp. enterica serovar Plymouth
Lineage: Bacteria; Pseudomonadati; Pseudomonadota; Gammaproteobacteria; Enterobacterales; Enterobacteriaceae
Description: bacterial SSU rRNA
Rfam family: Bacterial small subunit ribosomal RNA
Source: RNAcentral
UUAAAUUGAAGAGUUUGAUCAUGGCUCAGAUUGAACGCUGGCGGCAGGCCUAACACAUGCAAGUCGAACGGUAACAGGAAGCAGCUUGCUGCUUUGCUGACGAGUGGCGGACGGGUGAGUAAUGUCUGGGAAACUGCCUGAUGGAGGGGGAUAACUACUGGAAACGGUGGCUAAUACCGCAUAACGUCGCAAGACCAAAGAGGGGGACCUUCGGGCCUCUUGCCAUCAGAUGUGCCCAGAUGGGAUUAGCUUGUUGGUGAGGUAACGGCUCACCAAGGCGACGAUCCCUAGCUGGUCUGAGAGGAUGACCAGCCACACUGGAACUGAGACACGGUCCAGACUCCUACGGGAGGCAGCAGUGGGGAAUAUUGCACAAUGGGCGCAAGCCUGAUGCAGCCAUGCCGCGUGUAUGAAGAAGGCCUUCGGGUUGUAAAGUACUUUCAGCGGGGAGGAAGGUGUUGUGGUUAAUAACCACAGCAAUUGACGUUACCCGCAGAAGAAGCACCGGCUAACUCCGUGCCAGCAGCCGCGGUAAUACGGAGGGUGCAAGCGUUAAUCGGAAUUACUGGGCGUAAAGCGCACGCAGGCGGUCUGUCAAGUCGGAUGUGAAAUCCCCGGGCUCAACCUGGGAACUGCAUUCGAAACUGGCAGGCUUGAGUCUUGUAGAGGGGGGUAGAAUUCCAGGUGUAGCGGUGAAAUGCGUAGAGAUCUGGAGGAAUACCGGUGGCGAAGGCGGCCCCCUGGACAAAGACUGACGCUCAGGUGCGAAAGCGUGGGGAGCAAACAGGAUUAGAUACCCUGGUAGUCCACGCCGUAAACGAUGUCUACUUGGAGGUUGUGCCCUUGAGGCGUGGCUUCCGGAGCUAACGCGUUAAGUAGACCGCCUGGGGAGUACGGCCGCAAGGUUAAAACUCAAAUGAAUUGACGGGGGCCCGCACAAGCGGUGGAGCAUGUGGUUUAAUUCGAUGCAACGCGAAGAACCUUACCUGGUCUUGACAUCCACGGAAGUUUUCAGAGAUGGAAUGGUGCCUUCGGGAACCGUGAGACAGGUGCUGCAUGGCUGUCGUCAGCUCGUGUUGUGAAAUGUUGGGUUAAGUCCCGCAACGAGCGCAACCCUUAUCCUUUGUUGCCAGCGGUCCGGCCGGGAACUCAAAGGAGACUGCCAGUGAUAAACUGGAGGAAGGUGGGGAUGACGUCAAGUCAUCAUGGCCCUUACGACCAGGGCUACACACGUGCUACAAUGGCGCAUACAAAGAGAAGCGACCUCGCGAGAGCAAGCGGACCUCAUAAAGUGCGUCGUAGUCCGGAUUGGAGUCUGCAACUCGACUCCAUGAAGUCGGAAUCGCUAGUAAUCGUGGAUCAGAAUGCCACGGUGAAUACGUUCCCGGGCCUUGUACACACCGCCCGUCACACCAUGGGAGUGGGUUGCAAAAGAAGUAGGUAGCUUAACCUUCGGGAGGGCGCUUACCACUUUGUGAUUCAUGACUGGGGUGAAGUCGUAACAAGGUAACCGUAGGGGAACCUGCGGUUGGAUCACCUCCUUACCU